CCCCAAUUCAUCUCUAUCCGCGUCCGUUCCCUGACUCCCUAUCGUAACCUCUCCAAUACUUUCAUCGAUCUCCUGUCUCUAUAUAACCGCUAUGGUUGAGGAACUGUAACGGUGACGAUGAUGAUUGUCGACGAUGGUUUUCUUCGAUGAUUCUCCAAGCGUCUGCCCCUGUCAUUCUUUAAGGGGCAUAUGAUGGUGAUGGAACCUAACCAAAAAGUCAAAGUUCGGAUGAAGAGGUCGAAGAGCCAAGCAAACUACGAGCAAAAAGUAGAUAAACGACCCUUGACCUGAUAAUGAUUUAACAAGGAGAACGAAUUUCAUGUAUUUGGUGAAUAAACUUGGACUUGCUAAGGUAUGGAUCACAUGAGGUAUGUAAUGUUAUUUUGUCGAACUUUCAUGAAUGUAAACUUGGAAGAGAACAUACUUGACUCACAAUCAAGUGACCCGUUAAGGAGAUUUUAAAUCAGUUAUUAUGUAUUAACCUUGUUUUAUUAGUGUGCAGGUUGGACUUGUUUUCAAUGGGUUCCACGUGCUAUUGAAAUUCUUAGUUGAUAUUAAAGGUUGUAUGCUAAAUGCGCUGGUGCAUA
RNAcentral lists this long non-coding RNA (587 nucleotides) under Helianthus annuus (common sunflower). The record is from RNAcentral. Lineage: Eukaryota; Viridiplantae; Streptophyta; Magnoliopsida; Asterales; Asteraceae.